UACGUAGGGUGCAAGCGUUGUCCGGAAUUAUUGGGCGUAAAGAGCUCGUAGGCGGUUUGUCGCGUCUGCUGUGAAAACUCAGGGCUUAACCCUGAGCCUGCAGUGGGUACGGGCAGACUAAAGUGUGGUAGGGGAGAUCGGAAUUCCUGGUGUAGCGGUGGAAUGCGCAGAUAUCAGGAGGAACACCGGUGGCGAAGGCGGAUCUCUGGGCCAUAACUGACGCUGAGGCGCGAAAGCUAGGGGAGCAAACAGG
This 253-nucleotide ribosomal RNA is filed under the name uncultured bacterium. Its description in RNAcentral is "partial 16S ribosomal RNA". It matches the Rfam family "Bacterial small subunit ribosomal RNA", at positions 524 to 776 of the family's 1533-position model. The record is from RNAcentral.